This 463-nucleotide ribosomal RNA is filed under the name uncultured bacterium. RNAcentral's name for it is "partial 16S ribosomal RNA". It matches the Rfam family "Bacterial small subunit ribosomal RNA", at positions 28 to 507 of the family's 1533-position model. The record is from RNAcentral.
GAUGAACGCUGACAGAGUGCUUAACACAUGCAAGUCUUUGGCGAAGCUGUGCUUGCACAGCCUAGCCAAGGCGGACGGGUGAGUAACGCGUAAGGAACUUGCCCUGCAGUCAGGGAUAACAGACGGAAACGACUGAUAAGACCUGGUAAAGUCAGGCGGACUCAUGUCCAGCCUGAUGAAAAGAGAUGCUGCAGGAGAGCCUUGCGUCCUAUUAGCUUGUUGGUGGGGUAACGGCCCACCAAGGCGAUGAUAGGUAGCCGGCCUGAGAGGGUGGACGGCCACAAGGGGACUGAGAUACGGCCCUUACUCCUACGGGAGGCAGCAGUGGGGAAUAUUGGACAAUGGGGGCAACCCUGAUCCAGCAAUUCUGUGUGCACGAUGAAGGUUUUCGGAUUGUAAAGUGCUUUCAGCAGGGAAGAAAAAAAUGACGGUACCUGCAGAAGAAGCGACGGCUAAAUACGUG